This 433-nucleotide ribosomal RNA is filed under the name uncultured Coriobacteriaceae bacterium. RNAcentral describes it as "partial 16S ribosomal RNA". It matches the Rfam family "Bacterial small subunit ribosomal RNA", at positions 341 to 792 of the family's 1533-position model. Lineage: Bacteria; Bacillati; Actinomycetota; Coriobacteriia; Coriobacteriales; Coriobacteriaceae. The record is from RNAcentral.
ACGGAAGGCAGCAGUGGGGAAUUUUGCGCAAUGGGGGGAACCCUGACGCAGCAACGCCGCGUGCGGGAUGAAGGCCUUCGGGCUGUAAACCGCUUUCAGCAGGGACGAUUAUGACGGUACCUGCAGAAGAAGCUCCGGCUAACUACGUGCCAGCAGCCGCGGUAAUACGUAGGGAGCGAGCGUUAUCCGGAUUCAUUGGGCGUAAAGCGCGCGUAGGCGGCUUGCUAAGCGGAACCUCUAAUCCGAGGGCUCAACCCCCGGCCGGGUUCCGAACUGGCAGGCUCGAGUGCGGUAGGGGCAAGUGGAAUUCCAUGUGUAGCGGUGGAAUGCGCAGAUAUAUGGAAGAACACCGAUGGCGAAGGCAGCUUGCUGGGCCGACACUGACGCUGAGGUGCGAAAGCGUGGGGAGCGAACAGGAUUAGAUACCCUGGUA